Molecule: ribosomal RNA, 428 nt
Filed under: uncultured archaeon
Lineage: Archaea
Description: bacterial SSU rRNA
Rfam family: Archaeal small subunit ribosomal RNA
Source: RNAcentral
UACCUGCAGCUCGAGUGGUAACCGCUAUUAUUGGGCCUAAAGCGUCCGUAGCCGGUUUGGUAAAUAUCUGGGUAAGUCGUGAGGCUUAACUUCACGAAUUUCGGAUAGACUGCCAGACUUGGGAUCGGGGGAGGUCAGAGGUACUCCAGGGGUAGCGGUGAAAUGUUGUAAUCCUUGGAGGACCACCGGUAGCGAAGGCGUCUGACUAGAACGAGUCCGACGGUGAGGGACGAAGCCCUGGGGCGCAAACCGGAUUAGAUACCCGGGUAGUCCAGGGUGUAAACGAUGUGGACUUUGUAUUGGAGGUCCCACGUGGGCGUCCAGUGCAGAAGAGAAGUUGUUAAGCCCACCGCCUGGGAAGUACGGUCGCAAGGCUGAAACUUAAAGGAAUUGGCGGGGAGCACAGCAACGGGAGGAGCGUGCGGUUU